Molecule: ribosomal RNA, 497 nt
Filed under: uncultured bacterium
Lineage: Bacteria
Description: bacterial SSU rRNA
Rfam family: Bacterial small subunit ribosomal RNA
Source: RNAcentral
CGUGCUUAACACAUGCAAGUCGAACGAAAAGAGGGGAAGAGCUUGCNCUUUUUCAGAAUUGAGUGGCAAACGGGUGAGUAACACGUAACAACCUGCCUUCAGGAUGGGGACAACAGACGGAAACGACUGCUAAUACCGAAUAAGUUCCAAGAGCCGCAUGGCCCAUGGAGAAAAGGUGGCCUCUACCUGUAAGCUAUCGCCUGAAGAGGGGUUUGCGUCUGAUUAGCUGGUUGGAGGGGUAACGGCCCACCAAGGCGACGAUCAGUAGCCGGUCUGAGAGGAUGAACGGCCACACUGGAACUGAGACACGGUCCAGACUCCUACGGGAGGCAGCAGUGGGGAAUCUUCCGCAAUGGGCGAAAGCCUGACGGAGCAACGCCGCGUGAGUGAUGACGGCCUUCGGGUUGUAAAACUCUGUGAUCCGGGACGAAAAGGCAGAGUGCGAAGAACAAACUGCAUUGACGGUACCGGAAAAGCAAGCCACGGCUAACUACGUG